Molecule: ribosomal RNA, 253 nt
Filed under: uncultured bacterium
Lineage: Bacteria
Description: partial 16S ribosomal RNA
Rfam family: Bacterial small subunit ribosomal RNA
Source: RNAcentral
UACGGGGGGGGCAAGCGUUGUUCGGAAUUACUGGGCGUAAAGGGCUCGUAGGCGGCCAACUAAGUCGGACGUGAAAUCCCUCGGCUUAACCGGGGAACUGCGUCCGAUACUGGAUGGCUUGAGUUUGGGAGAGGGAUGCGGAAUUCCAGGUGUAGCGGUGAAAUGCGUAGAUAUCUGGAGGAACACCGGUGGCGAAGGCGGCAUCCUGGACCAACACUGACGCUGAUGCGCGAAAGCCAGGGGAGCGAACGGG